AAGUCAAACCGGUUCAUCGCUUGCUUUGCAAGAGGAAAGUCCGGACAGCAUAGAGUAGCAUGCUUCCUAACAGGAAGGAUUUUAAUAAAUACAGAUAGUGCCACAGAAAAUAUACAGCCAGUAAUGGUAAUGGUGAAAAGGUGAGGUAAGAGCUCACCGUAUUAAUGGUGACAUUAAUAGCAAGGUAAACCUCAUGCGCUGCAAGACCAAAUAAACCAAGGUUACUUUGUUGGAGAGUUACUCGCUCAACUUGGAGGGUAGGUUGCUUGAGUUAAUCAGUGAUGAUUAACCUAGAUAAAUGAUGGACCUCGACAGAAUCCGGCUUACAGGUUUGACUUUUUU
This 342-nucleotide RNase P RNA is filed under the name Crocinitomicaceae bacterium. Its description in RNAcentral is "RNase P RNA component class A". It matches the Rfam family "Bacterial RNase P class A". From Rfam's summary of the family: Ribonuclease P (RNase P) is a ubiquitous endoribonuclease, found in archaea, bacteria and eukarya as well as chloroplasts and mitochondria. Its best characterised activity is the generation of mature 5'-ends of tRNAs by cleaving the 5'-leader elements of precursor-tRNAs. The record is from RNAcentral. Lineage: Bacteria; Pseudomonadati; Bacteroidota; Flavobacteriia; Flavobacteriales; Crocinitomicaceae.